Molecule: ribosomal RNA, 1657 nt
Filed under: uncultured Sebacinales
Lineage: Eukaryota; Fungi; Basidiomycota; Agaricomycetes; Sebacinales
Description: eukaryotic LSU rRNA
Rfam family: Eukaryotic large subunit ribosomal RNA (bases 992-1657)
Source: RNAcentral
GGUUUCCGUAGCAAAAGUCUACGAUUGAACAGCAAUGUUCCUUCCGCAGAGUACACUUGCAGAAGCCUUAGUGGCCCGAAAGGGUUUCACCAGCGACUCUAAACAACUAGGUGGAUUAAAUGCUAGUCUCAUUAUGAGGCAACACUAUCAAAUUGCGGGAAGAUCCUGUCAUGUCCACAUCACCGCGGCUCACCGAAAGGUGCAGUGUCAGCACCAGGCUAACAACCUUGGGUAUGGUAACAGUAUGUGAAAUAGGGAGAAUCCGCAGCCAAGCCCCUUUGUGGGGUGCAGUUCACAGGCCAAAUGGUAGUGGGCACUGGUUCGGUGCUUAAGAUAUGGUCGAGUCCCAAUUGUGAGAUUGGGUACAAGUACUCUGUACGAAAUGCAAAUGUUCCGUAGGUGAACCUGCGGAAGGAUCAUUAAUGAAUUACAAGUCGGUCAUCUGUGCUGGUGGAAACACAUGUGCACGUUGAUCGCAAAUCCACACACCUGUGAACCUUUGACUCUGAGAUUCGCCUGUGCAAACUUGCAGCUGGUUGACUUUGGUCGGCCUGGAUCUUGGAGUAUUUUUACACACUCUGAAUGUAAUGGAAUGUCUAUGUGCAUAACGCGCAAAAAAACAACUUUCAACAACGGAUCUCUUGGCUCUCGCACCGAUGAAGAACGCAGCGAAAUGCGAUAAGUAAUGUGAAUUGCAGAAUUCAGUGAAUCAUCGAAUCUUUGAACGCACCUUGCACCCUUUGGUAUUCCGAAGGGUACACCCGUUUGAGUGUCAUUGUAAUCUCACUCCUUCAACUUUGUUGUUGUUGGAUGUGGACUUGGACUCUGUCGUGUCACAACGACUGGUCUUAAAUGAAUGAGUGCACCCUGCUGUUGCAGCGUCUUCAGUGUGAUAAGCAUCUUCACUGGAACAAAGUUCCCUUUUGGGACACGCAGGCAUUGUAGGCUCUGUGCUGGCAAACCGUCUUUUUUGGACAAAUCUUUGACAAUUUGACCUCAAAUCGGGUGGGACUACCCGCUGAACUUAAGCAUAUCAAUAAGCGGAGGAAAAGAAACUAACAAGGAUUCCCCUAGUAACGGCGAGUGAAGAGGGAAAAGCUCAAAUUUUGAAUCUGGUGUCUUUGGCGCCCGAGUUGUAAUCUAGAGAAGUGUUUUCUGCCUCGGACCACACAUAAAUUCCCUGGAAUGGGGUGUCAUAGAGGGUGAGAAUCCCGUUUGUGGUGUGGACUACCUUGGCUCUGUGAUACACUCUCAACGAGUCGAGUUGUUUGGGAAUGCAGCUCAAAAUGGGUGGUAAAUUCCAUCUAAAGCUAAAUAUUGGCGAGAGACCGAUAGCGAACAAGUACCGUGAGGGAAAGAUGAAAAGCACUUUGGAAAGAGAGUGAAACAGUACGUGAAAUUGUUGAAAGGGAAGCGUUUGAAGUCAGUCGCAUUGGUCGGAACUCAGCCUGGCUUCUGCCUGGUGUAUUUUCUGGCAAAUGGGUCAGUGUCAAUUUUGAUCGAGAGAGAAAGACUUGAGGAAUGUGGCUGUCUUCGGGCAGUGUUAUAGCCUCUUGUUGUAUGUCUCGGUUGGGAUUGAGGAACGCAGCACGCCUUUUGGCCGGGGUUCGCGCCCUCGGUACGUGCUUAGGACACUGGCAUAAUGGCUUUAAGCGAC